CACAUGCUCACACUCCUGCCUGCGCAGACCUAGUGAGUGAGCCUGUUUGCACCCCGGCCGCGGGGCCGCACAAGCCCCCGGGGGAGCCGCCCAUUCCCUGAGCGGCCUUCACUGGCGCCGCACGUGGCCCGGAGCGCAGGGGAGCUGAGGUUAGCAGUGACCUGGGCGGGAGGCGGGAGUUGAGGGGGAGGAGGCGCUGGGCUGGGCUGGGCUGGGCUGGAGGACGCGUGCUGUUUCUGCCGGCAGUGAACUGCUUCCACACCAUAUUUGUCAGUUAGGAUUGCGCAGCAACCGCUCACGUUGUCUGUGGAGAGAGAAUGCACGUAAACAAGGAGGUUCUAAAAGAGAUUCGUUUAACUCUUUCUAUUUAAAUUAUAGGGCACAAUGCUUAAUUAGAAAACUUAGAGAGGCUGAUCUGUGGGUAGGAUGGGGAUGCAGUCAUCCAAGUUCUGUCUCUGGUGUUCUUCAUGCCACAUGCACACUGCAAAGUUUGCUGGACCCAAAGUUAGAGGUAACAGCAAGGAAAGUAACCGACGCCCAUGUGGAGCUUCAAACAACCCAUCAACAGCCAUUGUCCAACAAGGGAACUACAAUACAAUGACUCGCCUGCAUGAAGCCACACCAGGGGAAUUGCUCAACCUUGCUUGGAGAGACUCAGCAAUGCCCCCCAGACAUGCCUGGACUUGUGCUCCCCAAGCACAUGGACUAAGGAUAUAAAACAGAAUGGACACAUACCGGGCCCUUCUCCUGCUUCCAUCUUCACAGCAAGCAACUAAGACACUGAGAAGAAGACAAGACUCCAACAGAGGAGAUUGGCCCAGGAUUAAGGAACAAACCUGUAUAUUAAGGACUGCAUUGUCCAGUGGGGUGAGAAAAGCUGCUUAAUCCAGAUGUUGCCCAGUGUAAUAGUGUUGAGAAGUUAGACUGCGUGCUUAUAUUUUAUUUUAUUUUGGCAACCACUCUUGACUUUUUGCCUAUCGCUUAAUAUCACUUAAAAUAUAUCUUUGUAGUUAAUAAAUCUUUUUGUUUAUUCUACCUGAAGCAGUGUGUUUGGUUUGAAGCAUGUCAGAGACACCUCUUGGGGUAACAAGCCUGGUACAUAUUAAUUUCUUUGUUAAAUUGACGAACUCAUAUAAGCUUGCAGCAUCCAGUGGGCAUAACUGGACACUGCAAGAUGGAAGUUCCUAGGGUUUUGUCAUUUGGUUGCAUAAUCCAAGGAGCAGUUUACAUGCCAGAGGCUGUGCGUGAACCGCCCAGGAGUGGGGGUUCUCACAGCAGAGAUGGGUAAGGCUGGCUCACAGAGUCAAGGAUUGGAGUGACCUAGCAGGUCACACUGGUCCGGAUAACACCAGGGGAAUGCCACAGUGUGCUGAGCUCACUCCAGCAGAAUGAGAGCUGGAUUGACACUGGAGAACUCAGUGGUGAUCACGCUCUAGCUUGCACUGCUGAAAUGCUAUCAGUCAGUAGGCAAUCAGUCUGGGGUUGGACCAUCCACAGUGGGAUUUGUUGUCAUCCAUGCACUUAAGCAUCCAUCUCCUGCUACACAGGACUCUGACUUCUGGUAACGCACAGGAAAUAGUGGCUGGAUUUACAGCAAUGGGGUUCCCAAAUUGUGAUAGGUAAUAGCACACAUAUCCGUAUACUUGUAUGCAGUGUUCUUGUAGCUGUGUCAGUCCCAGGAUAUUAGAGACACACGGUGGGUGAAGUAAUAUAUUUUAAAGGACCAACUUCUGUUGGUGGGAGAGACAAGCUUUAGUGCUCACACAGAGCUCUUUGGGUAUGAAACAUACUCAGCAUGUCACAGCUAAAUACAGGUUGUUUAGCAUAAGUAGUUAUAUAUUUCAAGGGAUCAUUCAAGGUGAAAUGGCCCAUUUACACCCCUCCAGUUAUAGGGAGGAAAGAAAGGGAGGGGAGGAAAGGCAGCUGGGGGUGUGGGGUUGUUAAUGGAUUACAGGUUAUUGUUAUUGUCUUUCACACCAGCAAAAAUUGGUCCAAUAAAAGAUAUUACCUCACCCACCUUGGCUUUCUAAUCUCCCUAUUCUGGCAUAAUCCAACCUCAUCACUGAGUACACCAAGAGAAAAGGAUAGUUUUCCAUGGUUAUGCAAGCAUUAGUGGAUCACUGGAAACACUUCACUGCUAUCAGUGUGGGCUGGUGAGGGAAGAUGCAUGAUGUGCGUCUCCUUAAGAACUCAGGACUUCUGAAAAUGCUGCAUGCAGGAACAUUCUUCCCUGACCAGUGCAUUAUCAUUGGCAAUGUUGAAAUGCCAACAGUGAUUCUGGAAACCCAGCCUUCUGUGGAACCUUUGCUGACCAUAUGACAGCACCAAAGAAAGAAACUGCAAGAUGAUUACUGAAUGUGCAUUUGGUAGAUGGAAGGGACACUGGCAUUGUUUAUUCACUAGACUGGAUCUCAGCAAGGCAACCGUCCCCUUUAUGAUUGCUACAUGUUGUGUAAUGCAACAAUAUCUGUUGAGGCAAAAGGAGGAAAGCUGCUGCUAGGGUGGAAAGUUGCGCUGGUCCAUCUAUCUGCUGAAUUUGAACAGCCAGACACAAGAGCUAUUAGAAGAGCCAAUCAUGGAGCUAUAUAACUGAGGAAGGCCUUAAAAGACUAUUUU
Long non-coding RNA from Gopherus evgoodei (Goodes thornscrub tortoise), 2616 nucleotides. The record is from Ensembl. NCBI's taxonomy places the organism in Eukaryota, Metazoa, Chordata, Testudines, Testudinidae.